RNAcentral lists this transfer RNA (61 nucleotides) under Hermissenda emurai. Its description in RNAcentral is "tRNA-His". The record is from RNAcentral. Lineage: Eukaryota; Metazoa; Mollusca; Gastropoda; Nudibranchia; Glaucidae.
GGGGGCUAUUUUAAAUUAAAAAGUUGGUUUGUGGUGCCAAAAAUAACUAUGGUUGCCCUCA